GACGAACGCUGGCGGCGUGCUUAACACAUGCAAGUCGAACGGAAAGGCCCUGCUUUUGUGGGGUGCUCGAGUGGCGAACGGGUGAGUAACACGUGAGUAACCUGCCCUUGACUUUGGGAUAACUUCAGGAAACUGGGGCUAAUACCGGAUAGGAGCUCCUGCUGCAUGGUGGGGGUUGGAAAGUUUCGGCGGUUGGGGAUGGACUCGCGGCUUAUCAGCUUGUUGGGGGGGUAGUGGCUUACCAAGGCUUUGGCGGGUAGCCGGCCUGAGAGGGUGACCGGCCACAUUGGGACUGAGAUACGGCCCAGACUCCUACGGGAGGCAGCAGUGGGGAAUAUUGCACAAUGGGCGGAAGCCUGAUGCAGCAACGCCGCGUGCGGGAUGACGGCCUUCGGGUUGUAAACCGCUUUCGCCUGUGACGAAGCGUGAGUGACGGUAAUGGGUAAAGAAGCACCGGCUAACUACGUG
Molecule: ribosomal RNA, 468 nt
Filed under: uncultured bacterium
Lineage: Bacteria
Description: partial 16S ribosomal RNA
Rfam family: Bacterial small subunit ribosomal RNA
Source: RNAcentral